RNAcentral lists this ribosomal RNA (253 nucleotides) under uncultured bacterium. RNAcentral's name for it is "partial 16S ribosomal RNA". It matches the Rfam family "Bacterial small subunit ribosomal RNA", at positions 524 to 776 of the family's 1533-position model. The record is from RNAcentral.
GACAGAGGGUGCAAACGUUGUUCGGAUUUACUGGGCGUAAAGCGCGUGUAGGCGGCUAAGUGUGUCGGGCGUGAAAUCCCACGGCUCAACCGUGGAAGUGCACCCGAAACUACGUAGCUAGAGUCCUGGAGAGGAAGGUGGAAUGCUUGGUGUAGAGGUGAAAUUCGUAGAUAUCAAGCGGAACACCGGUGGCGAAGGCGGCCUUCUGGACCGGUAUUGACGCUGAGGCGCGAAAGCCAGGGGAGCAAACGGG